This 390-nucleotide ribosomal RNA is filed under the name uncultured eukaryote. RNAcentral's name for it is "SSU rRNA". It matches the Rfam family "Eukaryotic small subunit ribosomal RNA", at positions 828 to 1216 of the family's 1831-position model. The record is from RNAcentral.
CUGUCUGUCUAUUUUGUUGGUUUCUAGAUGGAUAGUAAUGAUUAAUAGAGAUGGUUGGGGACAUUUAUAUUCCAUGGUCAGAGGUGAAAUUCUUGGAUUCAUGGAAGAUAAACAAGUGCGAAAGCAUUUGUCAAGGAUGUUUUCAUUAAUCAAGAACGAAAGUUAGGGGAUCGAAGACGAUCAGAUACCGUCGUAGUCUUAACCAUAAACGAUGCGGGCCAGGGAUUGGGAGACGUUACGUGGAUGACUCCUCCAGCACCUUGUGAGAAAUCACGAGCCUUUGCGUUCCGGGGGGAGUAUGGUCGCAAGGCUGAAACUUAAAGGAAUUGACGGAAGGGCACCACCAGGAGUGGAGCCUGCGGCUUAAUUUGACUCAACACGGGGAAACUC